UUUAAUUUGUUUUCAUUCUUAUUUUGAUUUUUAUUUUAUUUUAUUUUAUGAAUUUUUUUGGGGGCUGAGCAACACCCCAGGCUUUUUCAUUAAAUUGCAGGAAAACUUUAUAUAGAGAAGGGCAUAAAUCUGACCUCCAAAUGUGUUACAUGAUAUGAAAGUAUGAACUAAAAUAUGUGAAUGUGCAAUAUACAAGUAUGCAAAACUAGUAUGACUUGCCUGACCCUUCUUUCCUGUUUUGUCUAUGCAUUAGGGUGGUUCAUGAAUCUUAGUCAACUUUUUUCUCCUGAAGCUUGGCAUGCCUAAUUGAUCAAGCUUAAAAUAUCUUGCAGCAUCUGAUGGGAGCUGAUAGCUGUGAAAAUAAUAUUGUGGCUGGUCACACUGAUGACUGAUUUUGGACAAAGCAUCUGCUACAAAGUUAGCUUCUCUGUAGACAUGUCUACAUAUGCACAGGUGAAACUGUGAAAUGAGCUUCUGUAAGGAAUUCACAAAAGGUUGCAGAUGCCAUGGUACUGAUAAUUGGCUCCUUAUCCACCUGAUCAAGAGUUCAGAGUCUACCUUCACCACAAUCUACUGAAUUUCAUUGUUCAGGCACCAAGAUAAACCCCAUAUAGCAGCUUCGACCUUUGCUUAGUUAUUAGUUCCAUGCCCCAGGAGAGUAGCAUAAGUAUAGAUGAGCUCACCCUUGUGACUUCUAAUAACCCCCUGCACCAAUCCUUUCAGGAUUAGUAAGUGCACUACCAUCAGAAUUCAAUUUGACCACUGGAGCUGAUGGUUUAGAUCAAUACACUGCUGUGACUCUCGUGUCCUGUCUACAUUUCUCCACAUAAGCUGCCAGGUUAGAGCAACCAGAAGGCCAUGGGAUGUAAGGAAAAGUUGUAUUAAGCAGAAGGGAAAUAUCUUUAUAUAUAAAUUUUUUUACCUUGGCUAGUUAAGGUUGUUUGUCACCAUAUUUAACAGCACACGUGCUCUUCCACAAGUUCCAACAUAUGAUAAUUGACAAAGCCUGCAACACCAGUUUAUGGGCUCUAUUAACUGCUUUAGUUUUUCACCACUGCAAUAACAAGUAUUUGAUUGAGGAAGAGACAUGGGUAAGACCCAUAGUUGAAGAGAAAUAAUGCCAAAUAUGAUUAGCAAAUGGACAUUUUGAUUUUUAUCAAAUAUAUGAUUGACUUAAUUACUUGAUAAUUUUGUAGUAAUUUAUUUGAAACCAGAUUUUUGUAAUAAUCAUCGAACAAAUCUCAGCUUUCAUUUUAAAAAUAAUGUUUAAUUUUAAUAGUUAGAGGAUUAAAGUCAUGAUAGGAGGAAAGAAG
Molecule: long non-coding RNA, 1313 nt
Filed under: Capsicum annuum
Lineage: Eukaryota; Viridiplantae; Streptophyta; Magnoliopsida; Solanales; Solanaceae
Description: long non-coding RNA (CANN_LNC014688)
Source: RNAcentral